This 1515-nucleotide long non-coding RNA is filed under the name Mustela putorius furo (domestic ferret). RNAcentral's name for it is "lncRNA (ENSMPUG00000025421.1)". The record is from RNAcentral. Lineage: Eukaryota; Metazoa; Chordata; Mammalia; Carnivora; Mustelidae.
GCCAGCUGAUCCAGGGCGGACUGCACAUGCGCGAAUCGCGCAGGUCAGGGCCGCCAGGCACCUGGAGUAGGGCAGUAUCAGGAUAGGCCUUACGGUAACAGGACGCUGCCGUUGGGAGUACCUAGUGUUUACCUAAUUCCAAGACUUAAACUACACAAAUGUGUAUGUUCUCCCUGAAGGCGGAGCUGGAGGCAUCUGGACUGACUUGACAGAGUUGGAUUGUGCAGGCUGGCAAGGGUCGCCUGCAGUAGAAACACGUGGGAGCUCGCUGGCGCAGAAGCCCUGGACCCAGCCGAGACAGGGAAAUGAACACCUCAAACAUCAUGGCCUUUAACCCAGAGACAUGGUUUAUUGGAAAGGACACCUGCAUCAAGAUUCCUUCCAGGAGGGUAUGGAGGAUCAUAAUAAUACCAGGGGAACCCACAUCAAAGUUUGUCCAAACAGACCCCAGUUGGAGAAGAAUCGUGAACACACCAGUCUAUGAGCCCGACUUGAACAGCAGGCUGGUCUCUGGCUUACCCUUACCUCGGGGGAGUGCACACGGACAGUAUGUACCCCAAAAGUCGGCUUUGGAUAGACCUUGCCCUCCAAGCUUGUGAAAUUUAGGCCUCCACUGCCAGCAUCACCCCUGGUGGAGAGCGAGCCCAUAGGUGUGAAAGGGUGACAGGUGGUCAUCAUGCAGACUUGCUGCCUGUGGGCUCCAGGCCUUCUGGGGGAAUCAGGACUCCCCUGGGUCUCCAUACUGCAGGCCACUUCCUAGUAAGGCAGUUGAAAAACCUCCAGCUCCGCUCCUGGGGGCAUAUUCCAUAAUGUAGGUAGGCCUUGUCCAUUAGGCCGAUACCCCGUACCCCCACUAGCUCUUCUCUGUGAUGCUCAUCAACUGCGGUGGCCCUGUUGCAAGUCUCCUUUUGGCCUCAACUGCCAGACCUGCUCACGCAGACUCUGUACCCUGCCACCCGGCCUUGGGUGGCAGGGGCACCCCAAUGACCUCAAUGUCCUCUGGGUAGAAGGAGCCCACCCCUGGGAAGUCUUUCUGAGGCCAUAACUUUAACCUGGCAACAGGGUCUGAAAGACCCCUCUCCCCUUGCUAAAGGCUUGUCUAAGUAACCUAUUAUUCCCAUAGCCGGAUGGCAACACAUAUCCUGCACAAACAGGAUGUCUGUGAUCACCCGGUCUGUCAAAAGAAAAGACAAAUGAGAAGUAGAAUGUAACUGGGACUUUCCAGAGUGCUGACCCAAGGAACCACCAGAACGCCCUGACCCCAACGCCCAAUCGUGCUUGAUUCAAAUUAAUCAAUCAGACUCCUGUAACCAUGCAUACCUGCUUCUGUAAGAUCGCUUCCCGCUACCGCUUCCCACCACCCCAACCCUUGCCUUAUAUAAUCUGUUCCCCAACCUAGCCCGGCGCGCUCAGUCCACAAAGGCUGAUGCGUCCGCAGGCGCCUGUGUAACCAAUAAACCUCUUGCAACUUGCAUCCAGUGGAGGCUUGGUGUCUGCUUCUUGGGUGCGGAUCGA